GAUGAACGCUGGCGGCGUGCUUAACACAUGCAAGUCGAACGAAGCACUUUAUUUGAUUUCCUUCGGGACUGAUUAUUUUGUGACUGAGUGGCGGACGGGUGAGUAACGCGUGGGUAACCUGCCUUGUACAGGGGGAUAACAGUUGGAAACGGCUGCUAAUACCGCAUAAGCGCACAGCAUCGCAUGAUGCAGUGUGAAAAACUCCGGUGGUAUAAGAUGGACCCGCGUUGGAUUAGCUAGUUGGUGAGGUAACGGCCCACCAAGGCGACGAUCCAUAGCCGACAUGAGAGGGUGCCCGGCCACAUUGGGACUGAGACACGGCCCAAACUCCUACGGGAGGCAGCAGUGGGGAAUAUUGCACAAUGGGCGAAAGCCUGAUGCAGCGACGCCGCGUGAGCGAAGAAGUAUUUCGGUAUGUAAAGCUCUAUCAGCAGGGAAGAUAAUGACGGUACCUGACUAAGAAGCACCGGCUAAAUACGUG
RNAcentral lists this ribosomal RNA (481 nucleotides) under uncultured bacterium. RNAcentral describes it as "partial 16S ribosomal RNA". It matches the Rfam family "Bacterial small subunit ribosomal RNA", at positions 28 to 507 of the family's 1533-position model. The record is from RNAcentral.